GCUGGGCGGCCUUGCCGAUGCACUUUGCUCAGCAAGAAUUCCCGAAGUUUGGGGACGACAUCCCUGGAAUGGAAGGCCUGGGAACAGACAUCACGGUCAUCUGCCCUUGGGAGGCCUUCAACCACCUGGAGCUGCACGAGCUGGCCCAAUAUGGCAUCAUCUAGCACCAGGCCCUGCUGAGGUCCAGACCCUCCCCCUCCUGCCCGCUGUGCUCUAAACCCUGCUCAGGAUUCCUGUUGAGGAGACGCCUCCCUAGCCCAGAUGGCACCUGGACACCAGGGUGGGACUGCAACCUCAGGUGUCCCCCUACAUAUUAAUACCAGUCACCAGGAGCCCACCACCUCCCUCUAGGAUGCCCCCUCAGGGGCUGGCCAGGCCCUGCUCAACAUCUGGAGACACAGGCCCACCCCUCAGUCUUGCCCACAGAGAGGCUUGGCCAGUCUCCACUCCCUGGGAGAACGGGAAGUGAACCCCAGCCCGGGAGCCUGCUGGACCCCG
RNAcentral lists this small RNA (498 nucleotides) under Pongo abelii (Sumatran orangutan). Its description in RNAcentral is "processed transcript". The record is from RNAcentral. Lineage: Eukaryota; Metazoa; Chordata; Mammalia; Primates; Hominidae.